RNAcentral lists this ribosomal RNA (735 nucleotides) under uncultured Fusobacterium sp. RNAcentral describes it as "bacterial SSU rRNA". It matches the Rfam family "Bacterial small subunit ribosomal RNA", at positions 28 to 776 of the family's 1533-position model. Lineage: Bacteria; Fusobacteriati; Fusobacteriota; Fusobacteriia; Fusobacteriales; Fusobacteriaceae. The record is from RNAcentral.
GAUGAACGCUGACAGAAUGCUUAACACAUGCAAGUCAACUUGAAUUUGGGUUUUUAACUUAGAUUUGGGUGGCGGACGGGUGAGUAACGCGUAGAGAACUUGCCUCACAGUUAGGGACAACAUUUAGAAAUGAAUGCUAAUACCUGAUAUUAUGGUUAUAGGGCAUCCUAUAACUAUGAAAGCUAUAAGCACUGUGAGAGAGCUUUGCGUCCCAUUAGCUAGUUGGAGAGGUAACAGCUCACCAAGGCGAUGAUGGGUAGCCGGCCUGAGAGGGUGAACGGCCACAAGGGGACUGAGACACGGCCCUUACUCCUACGGGAGGCAGCAGUGGGGAAUAUUGGACAAUGGACCGAGAGUCUGAUCCAGCAAUUCUGUGUGCACGAUGAAGUUUUUCGGAAUGUAAAGUGCUUUCAGUUGGGAAGAAAGAAAUGACGGUACCAACAGAAGAAGUGACGGCUAAAUACGUGCCAGCAGCCGCGGUAAUACGUAUGUCACGAGCGUUAUCCGGAUUUAUUGGGCGUAAAGCGCGUCUAGGUGGUUAUGUAAGUCUGAUGUGAAAAUGCAGGGCUCAACUCUGUAUUGCGUUGGAAACUGUAUAACUAGAGUACUGGAGAGGUAAGCGGAACUACAAGUGUAGAGGUGAAAUUCGUAGAUAUUUGUAGGAAUGCCGAUGGGGAAGCCAGCUUACUGGACAGAUACUGACGCUAAAGCGCGAAAGCGUGGGUAGCAAACAGG